UUAAGUUAGAAAGGGCGCACGGUGAAUGCCUUGGCACUAGGAGCCGAUGAAGGACGGUACUAACACCGAUAUGCUUCGGGGAGCUGUAAGUAAGCUUUGAUCCGGAGAUUUCCGAAUGGGGGAACCCAUCAUCCGUAAUGGGAUGAUAUCUUUACCUGAAUACAUAGGGUAUUGAAGGCAGACCCGGGGAACUGAAACAUCUAAGUACCCGGAGGAAGAGAAAGCAAACGCGAUUCCCUGAGUAGCGGCGAGCGAAACGGGAUUAGCCCAAACCAAGAGGCUUGCCUCUUGGGGUUGUAGGACACUCUACACGGAGUUACAAAGGAGCGAGGUAAGUGAACAGGUCUGGAAAGGCCGGCCAUAGAAGGUAAAAGCCCUGUAGUUGAAACUUCGUUCCCUCCAGAGUGGAUCCUGAGUACGGCGGGACACGAGAAAUCCCGUCGGAAGCAGGGAGGACCAUCUCCCAAGGCUAAAUACUCCCUAGUGACCGAUAGUGAACCAGUACCGUGAGGGAAAGGUGAAAAGCACCCCGGAAGGGGAGUGAAAUAGUUCCUGAAACCGUGUGCCUACAAGUAGUCAGAGCCCAUUAACGGGUGAUGGCGUGCCUUUUGUAGAAUGAACCGGCGAGUUACGAUUACAUGCAAGGUUAAGUUGAUAAGACGGAGCCGCAGCGAAAGCGAGUCUGAAUAGGGCGAAUGAGUAUGUGGUCGUAGACCCGAAACCAGGUGAUCUACCCAUGUCCAGGUUGAAGUUCAGGUAACACUGAAUGGAGGACCGAACCCACGCACGUUGAAAAGUGCGGGGAUGAGGUGUGGGUAGCGGAGAAAUUCCAAUCGAACUUGGAGAUAGCUGGUUCUCUCCGAAAUAGCUUUAGGGCUAGCCUCAUGUAGUAAGAGUCUUGGAGGUAGAGCACUGUUUGGACUAGGGGCCCUCAUCGGGUUACCGAAUUCAGACAAACUCCGAAUGCCAAAGACUUAUCCAUGGGAGUCAGACUGCGAGUGAUAAGAUCCGUAGUCAAGAGGGAAACAGCCCAGACCACCAGCUAAGGUCCCAAAGUAUACGUUAAGUGGAAAAGGAUGUGGAGUUGCUUAGACAACCAGGAUGUUGGCUUAGAAGCAGCCACCAUUUAAAGAGUGCGUAAUAGCUCACUGGUCGAGUGACUCCGCGCCGAAAAUGUACCGGGGCUAAACGUAUCACCGAAGCUGUGGAUGGACACCAUUAGGUGUCCGUGGUAGGAGAGCGUUCUAAGGGCGUUGAAGCUAGACCGUAAGGACUGGUGGAGCGCUUAGAAGUGAGAAUGCCGGUAUGAGUAGCGAAAGAUGGGUGAGAAUCCCAUCCACCGAAUGCCUAAGGUUUCCUGAGGAAGGCUCGUCCGCUCAGGGUUAGUCGGGACCUAAGCCGAGGCUGAAAAGCGUAGGCGAUGGACAACAGGUUGAUAUUCCUGUACCACCAAAAUCCGUUUGAGUGAUGGGGGGACGCAGGAGGAUAGGGUAAGCGCGCUGUUGGAUUAGCGCGUCCAAGCAGUUAGGCUGCAAGUGAGGCAAAUCCCGCUUGCAUACGGCUGAGCUGUGACGGCGAGGGAAAUAUAGUACCGAAGUUCUUGAUUCCACACUGCCAAGAAAAGCCUCUAGCGAGGAUUAGGUGCCCGUACCGCAAACCGACACAGGUAGGCGAGGAGAGAAUCCUAAGGUGAGCGAGAGAACUCUCGUUAAGGAACUCGGCAAAAUGACCCCGUAACUUCGGGAGAAGGGGUGCUCAUUAGGGUGUUAAAGCCUUGAUGAGCCGCAGUGAAUAGGCCCAGGCGACUGUUUAGCAAAAACACAGGUCUCUGCGAAGCCGCAAGGCGAAGUAUAGGGGCUGACGCCUGCCCGGUGCUGGAAGGUUAAGAGGAGGGGUUAGCGCAAGCGAAGCUCUGAAUCGAAGCCCCAGUAAACGGCGGCCGUAACUAUAACGGUCCNUGG
This 1961-nucleotide ribosomal RNA is filed under the name Cytobacillus gottheilii. RNAcentral's name for it is "bacterial LSU rRNA". It matches the Rfam family "Bacterial large subunit ribosomal RNA", at positions 3 to 1955 of the family's 2925-position model. The record is from RNAcentral. Lineage: Bacteria; Bacillati; Bacillota; Bacilli; Caryophanales; Bacillaceae.